AUGAACGCUGGCGGCAGGCCUAACACAUGCAAGUCGAACGGUAACAGGAAGCAGCUUGCUGCUUUUCUGACGAGUGGCGGACGGGUGAGUAAUGUCUGGGAAACUGCCUGAUGGAGGGGGAUAACUACUGGAAACGGUAGCUAAUACCGCAUAACGUCGCAAGACCAAAGAGGGGGACCUUAGGGCCUCUUGCCAUCGGAUGUGCCCAGAUGGGAUUAGCUAGUAGGUGGGGUAACGGCUCACCUAGGCGACGAUCCCUAGCUGGUCUGAGAGGAUGACCAGCCACACUGGAACUGAGACACGGUCCAGACUCCUACGGGAGGCAGCAGUGGGGAAUAUUGCACAAUGGGCGCAAGCCUGAUGCAGCCAUGCCGCGUGUAUGAAGAAGGCCUUCGGGUUGUAAAGUACUUUCAGCGGGGAGGAAGGGAGUAAAGUUAAUACCUUUGCUCAUUGACGUUACCCGCAGAAGAAGCACCGGCUAACUCCGUG
RNAcentral lists this ribosomal RNA (489 nucleotides) under uncultured bacterium. RNAcentral's name for it is "partial 16S ribosomal RNA". It matches the Rfam family "Bacterial small subunit ribosomal RNA", at positions 29 to 507 of the family's 1533-position model. The record is from RNAcentral.